AUUGAACUUGAAAACAUAUUUACAGCCUAGAUGUUGGGGUUGGACCUUCUGUAAACUCUAAAGGCAGUUUAUAAAUUAAAUGCACGAGUGAUGUGACUCUGCUAUAUUUAUGCUGAGGAAUUAAAUAGCAAAAUCUAGUAUUUCACUGAUGUAUUUAUAUAAAGUAUCUGCUAUAACCUUGUAUAGUACAUUACAUGAUAAUCAUAUUUGAACCUUCCUUCUGGGGACACUAUCUCUCAAGACGUUUUAUGCACCAUGUCAACAAGGUAAGGCACGGACAUUUCAUAUUUAUCCUGAAGAGUGAUACUUCCAAUUCUGUUCAUUCUUCUACUUGAGAAUUUAUUAUAGCACACAUGGAACUUUUGAUUGUCAUCAAACAUCUUGCAAAAUAAUUGAUGUGAAAGUUACAGAAAAGGACACAGAAAAAGAUGGAUCAAUGUGACUGAUAAAGAGGGACUAUGAAAAUAACACCUGUCAAAAUUCCCAAGAUUCUCUUUAAUAAAA
This 504-nucleotide long non-coding RNA is filed under the name Homo sapiens (human). RNAcentral's name for it is "non-protein coding lnc-FGF12-2:1". The record is from RNAcentral. Lineage: Eukaryota; Metazoa; Chordata; Mammalia; Primates; Hominidae.